CGAACGCUGGCGGCAUGCCUAACACAUGCAAGUCGAACGGAGAUUAUUUCGGUAAUCUUAGUGGCGAACGGGUGAGUAACGCGUAGGCAACCUGCCCUUUAGUUGGGGACAACAUUCCGAAAGGGGUGCUAAUACCGAAUGUGACAGUUAUCUCGCAUGAGAUUACUGUGAAAGAUGGCCUCUAUUUAUAAGCUAUCGCUAAAGGAUGGGCCUGCGUCUGAUUAGCUAGUUGGUGGGGUAAUGGCCUACCAAGGCGAUGAUCAGUAGCCGGUCUGAGAGGAUGAACGGCCACAUUGGGACUGAGACACGGCCCAGACUCCUACGGGAGGCAGCAGUGGGGAAUCUUCCGCAAUGGGCGAAAGCCUGACGGAGCAAUGCCGCGUGAGUGAUGAAGGAAUUCGUUCCGUAAAGCUCUUUUGUUUAUGACGAAUGUGCAGACUGUGAAUAAUGGUUUGUAAUGACGGUAGUAAACGAAUAAGCCACGGCUAACUACGUG
Molecule: ribosomal RNA, 496 nt
Filed under: uncultured bacterium
Lineage: Bacteria
Description: bacterial SSU rRNA
Rfam family: Bacterial small subunit ribosomal RNA
Source: RNAcentral